Molecule: transfer RNA, 89 nt
Filed under: archaeon
Lineage: Archaea
Description: tRNA-Lys
Rfam family: tRNA
About the family: Transfer RNA (tRNA) molecules are approximately 80 nucleotides in length. Their secondary structure includes four short double-helical elements and three loops (D, anti-codon, and T loops).
Source: RNAcentral
GGGCCGGUAGCUCAGCUUGGUAGAGCAUCAGGCUUUUAACCUGGGUGUCGCGGGUUCAAAAACGUCCGUUGAAAGUCCCGUCCGGCCCA